Molecule: ribosomal RNA, 384 nt
Filed under: Lygodactylus guibei
Lineage: Eukaryota; Metazoa; Chordata; Lepidosauria; Squamata; Gekkonidae
Description: partial large subunit ribosomal RNA
Rfam family: Bacterial large subunit ribosomal RNA
Source: RNAcentral
GAGGCUAAUCAAUGAAAUUGAGCCCACAGUACAAACGCUGUAAUAAACACAUAAGACGAAAAGACCCUAUGGAGCUUUAAACCCCUGUACUACCGGAAGCAUUAGCCUAAACCCACCUAGUACACAUUUUUAGUUGGGGCAACUGCGGAGCAAAACAAAAACUCCAUGACAAGCACAUAAUAAGUGCACACCCCUGGCCGCCACGCCAUAUUAAUACCCGACCCAGUAUAACUGAACAUCGAACCAAGUUACCCUAGGGAUAACAGCGCCAUCUUCCCCCAAGAGCCCAUAUCAACGGGGAGGCUUACGACCUCGAUGUUGGAUCAGGACCCCCAGGCGGUGCAGCCGCUGCCAACGGUUCGUUUGUUCAACGACUAACGUCCU